UGGGGAAUAUUGGGCAAUGGAGGGAACUCUGACCCAGCCAUGCCGCGUGCAGGAUGAAGGCGUUAUGCGUUGUAAACUGCUUUUAUAUAGGAAGAAAUAGUCCUUGCGAGGAAAGUUGACGGUACUAUAUGAAUAAGCACCGGCUAACUCCGUGCCAGCAGCCGCGGUAAUACGGAGGGUGCAAGCGUUGUCCGGAUUUAUUGGGUUUAAAGGGUGCGUAGGCGGUUUAUUAAGUCAGUGGUGAAAGACGGUCGCUCAACGAUUGCAGUGCCAUUGAUACUGGUAGACUUGAGUAUGAUUGAGGUAGCUGGAAUGGAUAGUGUAGCGGUGAAAUGCAUAGAUAUUAUCCAGAACACCAAUUGCGUAGGCAAGUUACUAAGUCAUAACUGACGCUGAGGCACGAAAGUGUGGGUAUCAAACAGGAUUAGAUACCCACGUAGUCCCUGAGCGGGCUGGCAAGGCGCAU
Molecule: ribosomal RNA, 466 nt
Filed under: uncultured bacterium
Lineage: Bacteria
Description: bacterial SSU rRNA
Rfam family: Bacterial small subunit ribosomal RNA
Source: RNAcentral